CCAAAAAUCUAGCCUAUAAUAAUUUAAUACCCACACCCUUCUAUGUUAACAAAAUAAAACAUUUUAACUUUCUAGUAGAGGCGAUCAAAAAAUACAUAAGCGCUUAAGAAACAGUACCGAAAGGGAAAAAUGAAAUAAAAGUGAAAUAAAUUUUAAGUCCACUAAAGCAGAGACUUAAACUCGUACCUUUUGCAUCAUGGUCCAGCCAGUUUAAACAAGCAAAACGAAAAUUUUAGUUUGCUUCCCCGAAACUAAGUGAGCUACUUCAAAACAGCUUAAUGAGCCAACCCGUCUCUGUGGCAAUAGAGUGGGAAGAUUUUCAAGUAGAAGUGAUAAGCCUAACGAACUUAGAGAUAGCUGGUUACUCAGAAAAAGAAUCUCAGUUCUGCCUUAAAUUCCCCCAAUGCCACAAAACAGACCUAAAGAUUUGAGAGUUAUUCAACUAAGGCACAGCUUAUUUGAAACAGGAUACAACCUAAACACCAGGGUGAACCAUUUAUUAUUAUAUUAAGUAGGCCUAAGAGCAGCCAUCUUUAAAAAAGCGUUAAAGCUUGAUCAAUUUUACUAUUAAAUACCAAAAAUUCACAAGAACCCCCAACCACUACUGAAUGACCCCAUAAAUAUAUGGAAGACAUUAUGCUGGAACUAGUAACAAGAAUUUAAUUCUCCAAAAUGCAAGCAUAAACCAAAAUGGAUCGACCAUUGGCCAUUAACGAAAAUGAGCAAAUUAUAGUAACACAACUAGAAAACUCUAUAAAUUACCUCGUUAACCUAACACCAGAGCAUUUCCGGAAAGAUUAAAAGGGGGGGAAGGAACUCGGCAAAUCUCAACCCCGCCUGUUUACCAAAAACAUCGCCUUUUGAUAAAUUAUAAAAGGUCCAGCCUGCCCAGUGACAAAAUUCAACGGCCGCAGUAUCCUAACUGCGCGAAGGUAGCGUAAUCACUUGUUCUUUAAAUAGGGACUAGUAUCAACGGCAUCACGAGGGUCGCACUGUCUCCUCCCCCUAAUCAGUGAAACUGAUCUCCCCGUGAAGAAGCGGGGAUAUCAUCAUAAGACGAGAAGACCCCAUGGAGCUUUAGACCUCAGCAACUCUGAUAUAUAAUCCACCACAGCUUACAGAAUCAUGCAUAAAGGUUUUAGGUUGGGGCGACCGCGGAGUAAAAACUAACCUCCACAACGAAAAGAGCUAAAUCUUUAUCUAAGAGCUACCCCUCUAAGAAUUAGUACACUAACGAACAAUGAUCCGAUAAUCGAUCAACGGACCAAGUUACCCUGGGGAUAACAGCGCAAUCUACUUCAAGAGCCCUUAUCGACAAGUAGGCUUACGACCUCGAUGUUGGAUCAGGGUAUCCUAGUGGUGCAACCGCUACUGAUGGUUCGUUUGUUCAACGAUUAAAACCCUACGUGAUCUGAGUUCAGACCGGAGUAAUCCAGGUCGGCUUCUAUCUAUUAAGCGUUGCUCAUAGUACGAAAGGACCAGAGCAACAUGGCCAAUGCUGCACUAAGCCAUCGUCUUUAUCAAUGAUACCAACUCAAUUGAUUUUUGACCUAUUCAACAGUUAAAGACAGAUAACUAG
RNAcentral lists this ribosomal RNA (1579 nucleotides) under Rhacophorus catamitus. Its description in RNAcentral is "16S ribosomal RNA". It matches the Rfam family "Bacterial large subunit ribosomal RNA", at positions 372 to 2925 of the family's 2925-position model. The record is from RNAcentral. Lineage: Eukaryota; Metazoa; Chordata; Amphibia; Anura; Rhacophoridae.